This 463-nucleotide ribosomal RNA is filed under the name bacterium 2311-S3-05-1. RNAcentral's name for it is "bacterial SSU rRNA". It matches the Rfam family "Bacterial small subunit ribosomal RNA", at positions 58 to 512 of the family's 1533-position model. The record is from RNAcentral.
CAAGUCGAACGGUAGCACAGAGAGCUUGCUCUCGGGUGACGAGUGGCGGACGGGUGAGUAAUGUCUGGGAAACUGCCUGAUGGAGGGGGAUAACUACUGGAAACGGUAGCUAAUACCGCAUAACGUCGCAAGACCAAAGAGGGGGACCUUCGGGCCUCUUGCCAUCAGAUGUGCCCAGAUGGGAUUAGCUAGUAGGUGGGGUAACGGCUCACCUAGGCGACGAUCCCUAGCUGGUCUGAGAGGAUGACCAGCCACACUGGAACUGAGACACGGUCCAGACUCCUACGGGAGGCAGCAGUGGGGAAUAUUGCACAAUGGGCGCAAGCCUGAUGCAGCCAUGCCGCGUGUAUGAAGAAGGCCUUCGGGUUGUAAAGUACUUUCAGCGGGGAGGAAGGUGUUGUGGUUAAUAACCGCAGCAAUUGACGUUACCCGCAGAAGAAGCACCGGCUAACUCCGUGCCAGC